CCGCAGAGCCAUCGCCCCCGCCCUGGGGCUCGGCGGCCGGGGACCACCGCGGGGCGUGGGGGCAGAGGGAGCGAGCGGGGAGGGGCCGCCAGGGAAAAGGAACCGAAGGGAUGGAGCUGGUGCUGCUUGGUCCCUCCGUGGGCAGCAGGCUCCUGCGUUUCCCCGGGAUCGGGUGUCUCCUGCUGGGGUGUACCUGCGCUGGGGGUGGCCGUGGGGUGACGGAGCAGGAAGGCAGGCGUGGGCUCUGCUUGGCUGCGGCACAGCCGCUCUCUUUCAGGGCUUGAAGCAGAGCAGGAGAUGCUGCCUCCACCAGGCUCUCGGCAAAUCCCUGCACAGGCAGAGCGGUGCCCCUGCCCUUGGUACCUGGCUUUGGGAGAAGGGCAGCACAGCUCAGGCAACUUGGACCCAUCUGGAGGUCAUUCACUGUAAGAGGCCUAUGGACACUAAAGAGAGCUUAACUCAGAAGAGCCAGUGGCUACAAGGAAGCUCCUGUUGAGCCUCUCGGCAGCGUGCCCUGCACAAAUGGAACCGUGGGGAAAUUGAGAUGAUAAAUCUGUUGCUGUUGAGCAUGCACAAGGCUGUGUCCUCCAAGCCCUGGAAAGGCCCAGACUCUUAACAGAUUCCUUGGGAUGUAAAAAAAAAGCUUAUUCAAAAGCUUUCAGCAUCUCAAGUCUCUGCUUGAACAUCUAGAGACCAUAGAAGAAAGCUAGCCAGUUGGGAAGAUUUAAUGUACUCCAAACAAAAUAUAGAUACUUGAAAUAGAUUAAUGUUUUAAAUCUGUAAUUGUUAAUAAAAAUACCCCCAUCUUGAGUUGGUGUUGGCUGUGAAAUAUUUUAGUUGAGAUGGUUCAAGUUUAGCGCAGAAUUACAAGAAUGUAAAGCCAGAGUCUUGUAAUGAGAGAUGCCUGGUGACCUUCAGAAUGUUUAUUAUAAGCAUCCCUUGCCAAUCCAGUGAUGCAUAUGCACAAAUAAAUAAUUUUCUAUGAAUUGGACAGUAGAUUGAUUAUCAUCAGGGUUUUUUUUUUCAUUAAAGCUGUAUUGCAGUUUGAUUUUAUACAUCAGAAUAAUUCUCUGAAGCUAAAUGGACUAUUUGUAUGCACUGAAAUAUACUAAUUUUAAUCUCUGUGAUUGUGAUCUAACAGCAAGACCAGCUUCAAAUUGUAACCUGUGACACAUUUUCACCAAAUGAUUUUGUUUAAAAAGAAGAAGUUAGCUUUGGGAAUGAUGUGAGGGACACAAUGAAUCAUGAGGAUGCUGUCAUCAGUUUUGAUAACUCAUUUUAUUUAAAAGGAACAAAAAUGAAAAAAUGACUCAAAGGUCACUCAUCACCAUUACCUAGCUAUGUGAAGCCUUACUGAGUUGUAACUACUGAAUUGUUUUAUGCAAAAUUUAGAAGACUUGGAAAGGUGCUGAUAUGAAAUACAUACAGCAGUGCAUUCUUUAGAUUGUCUUAGCUCCUGAUUGGAAGUAUUAUUAUUUCUAGAGGUACUUAAGAUCUAGCUCCUCAAGGAGACAUGCUUGAUAGAGUUUACUUACACAUAAGGCUGCUUACAUUUGAAUAAGUGUCUUGAAUAGCAUUAUAGGUUUGUCUUUUAAUAAAGCAGGUGAGAUAUGGCAGUAAGGACAUUUGAGACUGAAAGUUGCUUUGAUAUUUUAGUAGACCCUAGUAAUGCGUGAUACUUGUGGUCCUUGGGGAAGAUGUAGGAAUAAUUAAACAAAUGUUGCCUACUUUCUGUCCCAACUAGAAAAAUAUUUGAAAAACUCCUAAUGAGACUUACAGUGUAGUUGUUUGUCCAGGGUGAAAAAUUGCCAGCUCUCUGUGAAAAUACCGAGUUAGUUUCAGAUGAGCAGGUCACAGCUAAUUAACUCAGCUGCCCUCAUAGUUGUGCUGAAACAGCUGUUCUGCUUUUCAAGUCUCAGCUGUCUCACCCAGUGCUGGCUUUGUGUGGCACAGCACCGGGUUCUGCAGCUCUCUGUGGUUUCCAAAGGUCAGCACUUAGGAUGGACAUUCCCCUUCCAUCCUGUUCUCAUGGAAGACACAUGACCAUGAGCCAGUUACUCAUAAAGAGCUGUGGUGGCAUUUGACUAGCAGCUUGCAAGAAGUUCUUGUGUGUCUGCAGUGUCUGUCCAGGAACAACCCGUGAGGCAGAAUAAGGAGUGAGGUAAAACACUGAUUAAAAUGUUUGAUGAGCUGCAGUAUGGUUAUGUCCAGAAGAGUGAGCUUUUCUCAAUGUAAUGAACUGCUUUUGUAUCUCUAGAAUGGCCUGAGGAUCCUAGGUGAGUGAAUGAUAAACACAGUUCAGCUGUGCUGGUUAUUCAGACUUUUUCCAAGAUCAUUCUUAAAAUGAAUUUUGGGUGGGUUUGUUGUAUUGUUGUUUUUGCAUAUUUGAGUUUGCAUAUGGACCCUCUGACUUCUGGAAUUCAAAGGAACAGCCAACAAAAUUCUACCAUGAUCUUUUCCUUUUGUGAAAGGGAAGCCACACAGAGUUGUGUAUGACUUCAGCAGAACACAUGAAUUUACAGAAAAAGAUGGUGGCAAAUUUCAUAUAUUUACUUUCCAUGAGAAGUGAUUAGGCAUUUUGUUUGUGCAGUCUAUGUGGUUGUUCUGUAAUUUCUGAGUGAGCAUACAUCUCUCUGUAUUCCUCAGAAAAAGUACAUCACUAUUCAGUGUAAGCAAUGGUCCAGUAAGAUAUCUAAGAGGCUUUCUGUUAGGUCUGCUGAAGAUAAAUUUGUAUAGCCUGUACAAAAGUGUGGAGGUGAUUGUACUGUAAAAAAGCUGCUAUAGGAGAUGUCAGUGAAAUUUCAACAUCAGUAUAAAAUUAGAGAAAGAUAAGGCAGUGGGUAAUGUUUCCCACCAGCAUGACUGUAGCAAUGCUUGAUGUUAUGGCUUUCUUGGUUGCUUGUUAUCACCUUUGUUCUGGUGUUUAUCAUCCACAGAGGUUUGCAGACACAGUGGAUCCUAUGCACUGCACUUUUACUGAAGCAUAUGAGAGCAAUCAUGCUCCUUGUCUUUAUGUUUGCAGGGAUAAGUCUGAAAACAUAAACUCGGUGUAAAUCAGUGCAGGAAGGUCUGUUGAACCUGUAACUCCAUGAGGUAUGAACUCCCCCCUUGUCUCAAAUAGGACUCUGUCAAUACCUGGUCUGAUUUAAGGCUGUGUUGAAGGAAUUCUUUCCUCAUGGGUGAGAGUGAUGCUGGAAGGAGUUGGGUCUGUGAGCUGUUGGCUGAGGAGGGCUUUAGCUGUAGCACCACAUUGCUACCAGAUGUAUAAGCUUUGCUGAUUGAGUUGUUUUGUGAUGACUCAUUGAAGUUAGAGUUUGAAAGGGAAGAUUUUUGCCAGUUCUGGUGUUCGGUGAAAUGCGAGUAGCUGUCAUUUUCCUCAUGGGCUUUGAGAGCAUUUCUUGCAUUUGAUUUCUUGUGAGUGCAAAGCAAGACUGCUCAAGAGUUGUUACCAUUAAAGAUAAGUACAUUGCUGGCUGAGUGUUGAUAAUAAACUGGGUUUGCAUCUCAGGAACUUGACACUAAGCCUACAACCAGUUAGUGACUCCAGAUGGGCUAAUUAUCAUUGAUUUUAAUAAAUGAGUGAUAAUUUCAAACACUUACUUGCAACUGAAGUCCAUUCUGAGGCAGGGGUGUUUUUUUCUGGUGUACUGUGUAUUGUGAAGAUGAAUAGCAGUUCUGCCUGCAUAUAGAUUUGCAAAAUGAGGAGAAUCUUUUUAAUAGUCUCAGGGUUUGGGACAGCAAAUAAUUAAAAUAACAUUUAGUUAAAAAGACUUUAGAGCUUUUAAUUUAUAGCAAUGAAGAGAAACCAUUACCUCUAAAGAAUUCACAUUAUUUUUACUAGCCAUCUUUGCCAUGCACAUUUCUGCUUCUGCAUUCAGCAGAAACUAUUUCUACUGGUCUCAGAGUGUGAGAACUUCAGCUUAAAAGUUUUUCUGUGUCAGGCACCUGCACGUCUCUUGGUCGUAGUUCUGACCACUGAAUAAAAUGCUUUUUAUUGAUGACAAAAAUAUUUGGGUUUAAGUAUAUUUUACAUUUGAGAAUAUAAAAUAUGAUUGACACUCACCUGUUCAUUGUGUUGUAAUUAAGGUUAAACUGGUGUUUAAAAGCCUUGCAGGAAUUUACAGCAUUGUAGUUCUAGCUGCUUUUCAGAUGGUCAUGCUUUCUGUGUUGAGGAAAUGGAGACCAGCUAUUUAAUUGUGCCUAAGCCAGGACUAGUCUAUUUUUGAUAAUGUCUGGUGGGUAAUUUUACUAAGAUCUUGGAAGUGCAGUUGAGUACUGAGGCUCCUUGCUAGGAGAUUGGGCACAGCGUGAGAAAGUCUAAGGGUGAGAUGAGAAACUGCAGGAGAGGCAUGAGGCAAGAUCGGACAACUGGCGAGGAGUGAAGCUAGGCUCAGAACACGACUCUCUUGGGUCCCAUCAAGCACUGCCUUCUCUGAAGAGAGAUGGUAAUGCUAUGUUGACUAGCAGUCCGUUAGCUAGACAGCUCUGAGUUGUACACGUAGUUCCUUAACUACAGGCUAUUUACAGCAUGGCUCCAAUCACAGACCCUGAAUUUUAAGAUUGUCGAUGACCUGACAGUGUCAAAUUACACAAUUCUUAUCUGUUGCAUGAUUGUGCUCCUGAUAGGUUAACAUCAGUCUUAAACAUACUUUGUUACCUAUUUCUGAUGUUUUACCAUCUCCCUUCCUUUGCUGAUUCUUUUACACCUCAUGUGUACAGGCAAGAACUGCAUUUGGAAAGGUCAUAAUACCUCUUUAAUGGCUCAGCAGAUUGUCCACAUCUUCUUUUUCAUUAAUCUUUUCCUGAUUACCUGCUUUACUGUUACUGGUUCUUCAGUUCUGAGAGUAUAAGCAGUGUAAAAAGAGACCCGAUCCACACAUCAAAGGGCUUUUGUUGACUCAGGAGCUGGACUUGAUCCUUGUGGGUCCAUUCUAGUUCAGGAUAUUCUGUGUUACCAGAAAGCUUAGUCAAGGAAAACAAACAGCGGGCCUCCAUAAGAAAUAAAGGAAAACAGUCCAGAGGUCACCUUGAUAUAUGGGUGUUAUGUACAAUUGUAGUUGCAAUACAGCACAUGAAAAAGCACAUUUAUUUGUCCAUGGGAAGCCCAUUCCACCAUGAGGGAAGAGUGUGACAGGAAGGGAAUGAAGUGCUUGGUUUGUAGAGAUGUCUGGGAUAACCCAGGGAAGUGAGAAUACAGGAGAGACACUGUUACAGUAAUUACCCCAUCUUCAUUUUUAACUGAAAUAACAUCUUGCUUUUUUUAUUGCCCCAAUACUGGGAGUUAAUUGAAGAAAAAAAUCAGUGAAAGACAACCACAAAAAAUCAGUGAAACUUUUCAAGUAUUUGCUUUUCCCUUUUCUACCAUCUGUAGUUACUUUUGCCAGAGAAUGUUCUCACUCAGCAAUUUUCCAGUGACUUCAAGGUAACUCUUUUUUUUGUUUCUUUCUUGCUUCUCCACUAUGUUAAUUCUUUACCAUUUCUUUCUAAACCCUGAUAUGUUUGAUGAAGAGAAAGUGUUAGCAGUUUAUGAGUCUAUAACCCCUUCAACGUGAUUUUCUAGUAAUUUUGUUAGCUCCUUACAAAUGCUCCCACUUUACAGAUCUGGCUCCUGUAGUCUUCUGGCCAUGGCUCCAGAAUCAUUAGUGCUGGGUCACCCAAUGAUUCAAAUUUUGUCUGGGUCAGGUAUGGAUGCAUGAUCAUAUUUCUGCUGAACUAUUUGGAAAACCAGGAGUUUAUGGGUUUUUUUUUCUUUCUUCUGAGAAGACUGGCAACACCUGUUUAGAAUAAAACAAUAUUUUUAUCUGGAUUUAUUUACUGUGAUAUGAAGACUGCAUGUCCAGACAAAAUGUUCCGCUCAAAACCUUGUUCACAGCCAAAAAGGCAGCAUGUUUUUAUGUAGCAAAGAAUUUCUUCUUAGCAUAACUGAAUUUUUGGAAGUCUAAUCAUGAUUAAUCCAGAUGCAAUUAUUACACAAAAAUAAUGAAUAAUAAUGCAGUAAAAAUUGUUGUACCUUUAGUUCUUGGUUUCUAUCCCUCUUCCUGGUGUUACAUUCACCCCUCUUCUAAUCCAGUGGGUUCCAAGAUUGCUGAUUUUAUCUUGGUAGCAAAUUGUCAGCAUCUGGAAUCCUUUCCUGAGAGAGGUAUGAUGUUCAUUAUGUUGCUCUCCCUCCCUCCCUCCCUCUCCCUCCCUCCCUAUUUCUCCCUCUUUAAAUGACCUGAGGUCAUUUUAGUAUGUUUGGUAAAACAACUUUACACCUGUCUCUUUUCUUCAUUGGUCUGCAGUUCCACAUUGCAUCUGAAUUUUGCUAUAUAUAGUUGCUUUUAUGGGUAUUAGAUACCAUUUCUUUGUUCUCUUUGUUAUCUCUGAAGCCAGUUUUGUCCAGCUCCAGGUCUGCAUUUCUUUGGUUGACCAUUGGUGAUUAGUUUAUGGCCAUGGUCUCAGAUGCCAAGCCUGUUGCCCUGUUUUUCUCAUCCUGUGCCUCUACUCUUCCAUGCCACAUCCUGUGUCUCCACUCCCCCAGUCCUCUGCUGUGGUACCAGGCUGUUACAUUUCUCUCUACAAAGUUUCUGCGUUAGUGGUAAAUAUUCUAUAUAGAAUAGCUGCUUUUUACUGCUGCCUGUGCAAAACUCUGGUUGUACCACACACAAGCAAAAAUAAAAUAGAAGGGAUAUACGUACCCGACCAGUUACAGAAAUUGUAGUCACACCUAGACCAGUUAAUCCAAAGCUACAAGCAGGCUAAGAAAAGGCAAAGCAAAAGUGACAUGUUCAAGGCCUUGAAAAUGCACUACAGAGCUUAUGGCCUAUGAAGAACAAUGGCAGUACUGGAUGACAGGGCUAGAGGUUAACCCAACUAUUUUUUCUGUACAAAAUAUAACUGCUGGAGUGAAUAUACCUGUGAUCAUUGCUUGAUGUUCUGUGAUUGAAGUGUUUGUUGCAUUUUUACCCUGGUACAAAAUGAACUGGUAUAUGAAGUACUGAGCUGAACCACAGCCUCAUUCAUACCUUUUGCCUUUAGUGAAAAUAAAGUAUUUCUGCUGUUUUUAUUGCUGUUUUAAUAAAUCCUAUUGUUGACUUCA
This is a non-coding RNA of Taeniopygia guttata (zebra finch), 7078 nucleotides long. The record is from RefSeq and is a predicted model, not a curated record. NCBI's taxonomy places the organism in Eukaryota, Metazoa, Chordata, Aves, Passeriformes, Estrildidae.